This 73-nucleotide transfer RNA is filed under the name Camelus bactrianus (Bactrian camel). It matches the Rfam family "tRNA". Rfam says of the family: Transfer RNA (tRNA) molecules are approximately 80 nucleotides in length. Their secondary structure includes four short double-helical elements and three loops (D, anti-codon, and T loops). Lineage: Eukaryota; Metazoa; Chordata; Mammalia; Artiodactyla; Camelidae. RNAcentral also lists the same sequence under 3 other names. The record is from Rfam by way of RNAcentral.
GAGGGUAUAGCUCAAGCAGUAGAGGGCAAGUUUAGCAUGCCCGAGGUCCUGGGUUCAAUCCCCAGUACCUCCU